RNAcentral lists this transfer RNA (78 nucleotides) under Cutibacterium acnes KPA171202. RNAcentral's name for it is "tRNA-Met". It matches the Rfam family "tRNA". From Rfam's summary of the family: Transfer RNA (tRNA) molecules are approximately 80 nucleotides in length. The record is from RNAcentral. Lineage: Bacteria; Bacillati; Actinomycetota; Actinomycetes; Propionibacteriales; Propionibacteriaceae.
GGCGGGGUAGCUCAGGGGUAGAGCAAGCGGCUCAUAAUCGCUGUGUCGCGGGUUCGAUUCCCGCUCCCGCUACCAAUU